AUAGGAAUUAUCUGAGUCUCUUGUUAAAAGGCAGAUUCUGACUCAGUAAAUUUGCUGUGAGUUUGAGAUUCUACAUUUUUAACAGUCUCCUAGAUAUUGUCAAA
RNAcentral lists this microRNA precursor (104 nucleotides) under Marmota monax (woodchuck). The record is from RNAcentral. Lineage: Eukaryota; Metazoa; Chordata; Mammalia; Rodentia; Sciuridae.